CUUGCACAAUCCGUAUCAUACAAUAUUUUGAUGCUCCAUUGUAUCCAUAUCAUUUCGAAUCCUCCUUAACUGUAGAUGCCUCUUUUCUUGUCUUCUUGUGAAUGGAUGCGAUAUUAGUCUCGGUGCAGUCCACUCAAGCUAAUAAUGCAGACUCUUUGAAAGAUGGAAGGUAAAUGCAUAUGACUGCUCAUAAUGUAUAAUAGUAUAACAGUCAUCAACGAAUUACUUUCAGUCUAAGUUCUUGUUGGCACAAACAGCAAACAAGUAGGAGCAUGGAUAAUGCAGUAACUGUCACUUCUUACAUGUGUAUGUGCGUACUCCUAAAUCGAUUGUCUGUAUAUAAUCAGGUUCAUCGGGGCUGUAAUGCCUUCGUCUCAAUCAAAUCUCAUACAAAUCCGGUUGGUUAUUGUACUUAAUCAUACAAUGCUCCCUGGACUUUAGCUGUCAUGCAUUUAACUUUUUUCCAAUCUUAUCUGUGAAUAUCUUGCAGGCCUCCCUUCUUCGUGCUGCAAUUGCACAUCUGACACUGAACCACUUUGACAAGUGUUUGAAAGAAAGACGAACAUGAGCGAUAAUGGGCAAUGAGCGAGCCUUCUUCAAUACCUUAUUGAAGCUUUCAGAUAGAUUGAUAUUCAUUAUUCCAUACCUAUAUCUACCUGUGUUAUGUAUCAGUGUCCAUUUACUCAGAUCAUCAAGUAGAUAUGUUUUUAGAUAUUGAAAGUAAUUGGGUCAUAUUCUCUCAAUAUGUUGC
Molecule: long non-coding RNA, 751 nt
Filed under: Elaeis guineensis (African oil palm)
Lineage: Eukaryota; Viridiplantae; Streptophyta; Magnoliopsida; Arecales; Arecaceae
Description: long non-coding RNA (EGUI_LNC010648)
Source: RNAcentral